This 207-nucleotide ribosomal RNA is filed under the name Mediterranea massiliensis. Its description in RNAcentral is "partial 23S ribosomal RNA". It matches the Rfam family "Bacterial large subunit ribosomal RNA", at positions 2701 to 2925 of the family's 2925-position model. The record is from RNAcentral. Lineage: Bacteria; Pseudomonadati; Bacteroidota; Bacteroidia; Bacteroidales; Bacteroidaceae.
ACUGACCUCUGGUUUACCGGUUGUGCCGCCAGGUGCAUCGCCGGGUAUCCAAGUCGGGAUCGGAUAAGCGCUGAAAGCAUCUAAGUGCGAAGCCGGCCACAAGAUUAGAUUUCUCAGGGUCGUCAAAGACGAUGACGUUGAUAGGACGCAGGUGUAAAGACGGUGACGUCAAAGCCGAGCGUUACUAAUUGCCCGUCCGCUUUAUUC